RNAcentral lists this ribosomal RNA (515 nucleotides) under uncultured bacterium. RNAcentral describes it as "partial 16S ribosomal RNA". It matches the Rfam family "Bacterial small subunit ribosomal RNA", at positions 28 to 523 of the family's 1533-position model. The record is from RNAcentral.
GAUGAACGCUGGCGGCGUGCCUAAUACAUGCAAGUCGAGCGAAUGGAUUAAGAGCUUGCUCUUAUGAAGUUAGCGGCGGACGGGUGAGUAACACGUGGGUAACCUGCCCAUAAGACUGGGAUAACUCCGGGAAACCGGGGCUAAUACCGGAUAACAUUUUGAACCGCAUGGCUCGAAAUUGAAAGGCGGCUUCGGCUGUCACUUAUGGAUGGACCCGCGUCGCAUUAGCUAGUUGGUGAGGUAACGGCUCACCAAGGCAACGAUGCGUAGCCGACCUGGGAGGCGGAUCGGCCACACUGGGACUCGGAACCGGCCCAGACUCCUACAGGAGGCAGCAGUAGGGAAUCUUCCGCAAUGGACGAAAGUCUGAAAGAGCAACGCCGCGUGAGUGAUGAAGGCUUUCGGGUCGUAAAACUCUGUUGUUAGGGAAGAACAAAUGCUAGUUGAAUAAGCUGGCACCUUGACGGUAUCUAACCAGAAAGCCACGGCUAACUACGUGCCAGCAGCCGCCGUAA